GUUUCCUGAAGGAGAAACAUUAGAAACGGGAAACGGAUUUUUUUUUCUUUUACCCAGGCUUAAACUCUUGAUCCUCAGUGAAGAGAGAAAAAGGAAUAAUGAAAUCCUUGAGUGUUUCACUAGUGGUCCUGUGGCUUCAGUUUAAUUGGGUGAGCAGCCAGCAGAAGGUGCAGCAGAACCCGGAAUCCCUCAGUGUCCCAGAGGGAGCCAUGGCCUCUCUCAACUGCACUUUCAGUGAUAGUGCUUCGGAUUACUUCAGCUGGUACAGACAGCGAUCUGGGAAAGGCCUGGAGUUGCUCCUGUUUGUAUUCUCCAGUGGUAAAAAAGAAGGCAGAUUCGCAGUUCACCUCAACAAAGCCAGUCGGCAUGUUUCCCUGCAUAUCAGAGACUCCCAGCCCGGUGACUCAGCUGUCUACCUUUGUGCAGUGAGAACACAGUGCUCCCCAGGCACCUGCAGCCUGCACAAAAACCUAUUGGGCCCCAAUAGGCCUGAACUAAAGUGUGCUUGA
Peromyscus leucopus (white-footed mouse) is the source of this 509-nucleotide non-coding RNA. Lineage: Eukaryota; Metazoa; Chordata; Mammalia; Rodentia; Cricetidae. The record is from the annotation of a RefSeq genome assembly.